RNAcentral lists this ribosomal RNA (771 nucleotides) under uncultured bacterium. RNAcentral describes it as "bacterial SSU rRNA". It matches the Rfam family "Bacterial small subunit ribosomal RNA", at positions 8 to 770 of the family's 1533-position model. The record is from RNAcentral.
AGGGUUUGAUCAUGGCUCAGAUAGAACGCUGGCGGUAUGCUUAACACAUGCAAGUCGAACGGAAACGAUACUAGCUUGCUAGUAGGCGUCGAGUGGCGGACGGGUGAGUAACGCGUAGGAAUCUGCCUGAUAGUGGGGGAUAGCCCGGAGAAAUUCGGAUUAAUACCGCAUAAUCUAUUCGUAGUAAAGUGGGGGACUUUCGAGCCUCACGCUAUCAGAUGAGCCUGCGUAAGAUUAGCUUGUUGGUAGGGUAAAAGCCUACCAAGGCGACGAUCUUUAGCUGGUCUGAGAGGAUGAUCAGCCACAUCGGGACUGAGACACGGCCCGAACUCCUACGGGAGGCAGCAGUGGGGAAUAUUGGACAAUGGGGGCAACCCUGAUCCAGCAAUACCGCGUGUGUGAAGAAGGCCUGAGGGUUGUAAAGCACUUUCAAUUGUGAAGAAAAGUUAACGGUUAAUACCCGUUAACCUUGACGUUAACUUUAGAAGAAGCACCGGCUAACUCCGUGCCAGCAGCCGCGGUAAUACGGAGGGUGCAAGCGUUAAUCGGAAUUACUGGGCGUAAAGCGUGCGUAGGCGGUUUAUUAAGUCAGAUGUGAAAGCCCCGGGCUUAACCUGGGAACUGCAUUUGAAACUGGUAAACUAGAGUAUGGUAGAGGAAAGUGGAAUUUCUGGUGUAGCGGUGAAAUGCGUAGAUAUCAGAAGGAACAUCAAUGGCGAAGGCAGCUUUCUGGACCAAUACUGACGCUGAGGUACGAAAGCGUGGGUAGCA